CAGCAGUCGCGGCAACACAAGGAAGACAAGUGUUAUUCAUCUUAAAUCGGUUUAAAGGGUACCUAGACGGUAAAUUAGGCCUUAAUUGGUACGUUUUUACUAGAGUUAUACAUGCAUGAGGAAUAUGUGAGUAUUACCAGAGUAGAGAUGAAAUUUUUUGAUACUGUUAAGACUGGUAAAGGCAAAAGCAAACCUUUAUAUAUUAACUGACGUUGAGGGACGAAGGCUUGGGGAGCAAACAGGAUUAGAUACCCUAAUAGUCCAGGCAGAGAAUUAUGAAUGUCAUAGAAUAGAUAUAAUAUUUAUCCUAUAAAUGAAAGUGUAAGCAUUCCACCUCAAGAGUAAUGUGGCAACGCAGGAACUGAAAUCAUUAGACCGUUUCUGAUACCAGUAGUGAAGUAUGUCGUUCAAUUUGUUAACCCUCAAAAAACCUUACCACAAUUUGAAUAUAUUUAGUAGAUAUAUAUUUUUUUAUAUAUCUUUAUUUAUACAAGCGUUGCAUUGUUGUCUUCAGUUAAUGUUGUGAGAUUUUGGUUAGAUUCAUAAAAUUAACGUAAUCCUAUAUUCUAUUUAAAUAUUAAUAGAUUAGUUCACCGCUAUAUUGGAUAUUGAUAACCGGGAGUAAGACUAGUCGUAAUGACCUUUAAUAUUUUGUAAUUGUGGAGGACUGUGCUCCAC
Molecule: ribosomal RNA, 678 nt
Filed under: Trypethelium subeluteriae
Lineage: Eukaryota; Fungi; Ascomycota; Dothideomycetes; Trypetheliales; Trypetheliaceae
Description: SSU rRNA
Rfam family: Bacterial small subunit ribosomal RNA
Source: RNAcentral